Molecule: ribosomal RNA, 406 nt
Filed under: uncultured bacterium
Lineage: Bacteria
Description: partial 16S ribosomal RNA
Rfam family: Bacterial small subunit ribosomal RNA
Source: RNAcentral
AUUGAACGCUGGCGGCAGGCCUAACACAUGCAAGUCGAACGAGUGGCGGACGUGUGUGUAAUGUCUGGGAAACUGCCCGAUGGAGGGGGAUAACUACUAGAAACGGUAGCUAAUACCGCAUACCAUCGGAUGUGCCCAGAUGGGAUUAGCUAGUAGGUGGGGUAACGGCUCACCUAGGCAACUAUCCCUAGCUGGUCUGAGAGGAUGACCGGCCAAACUGGAACUGAGACACGGUCCAGACUCCUACGGGAGGCAGCAGUGGGGAAUAUUGCACAAUGGGCGAAAGCCUGAUGAAGCAAUGCCGCGUGGAUGAAGAAGGCCUUCGGGUUGUAAAGGACUUUCAGCGAGGAGGCGUUACUCGCAGAAGAAGCACCGGCUAACUCCGUGCCAGCAGCCGCGGUAAUUC